AGGGCCACACUCACAGCAUAUGGAAGUUGCCAGGCUAGGGGUCAGAUCAGAGCUAUAGCUGCUGGCUUAUGCCACAGCCACAUCAGAUCCAAGCCGCAUCUUCGAUCUACACCACAGCUCACAGAAAUGCCAGAUCCUUAACCCACUGAGCAAGGCCAGGGGUCGAACCUGCAUUCUUAUAAAUACUAGUCAGGUUCAUUACUGCUGAGCCACGAUGGGAACUCCUGUGGAAGAUAUUUUGGAUUGUUCAAGGGUCACCUGGGAAGCAGGCCACUGGAAAAUGAGUUAUGUUGUAUAAUUGGUCUACUUUGUUUUUUAUUUUUUUGUGUGUUUUUUUUUCUUUAAGUAUAGUUGAUUUACAGUGUUGCGCCAAUUUCUGCUGUACAGCAAAGUGACUCAGUCAUACAUAUUUACAUUCUUUUUUUAUGUUAUUUUCCAUCAUGGUCUAUUCCAGGAGAUUGGAUAUAGUUCCCUGUGCUAUACAGUAGGACCUUAUUGUUUAUCCAUUCUAAAUGUAAUAGUUUGCAUCUACUAACUGCAAACUCCCAGUCCAUCCCACAAUUGGUCUACUUUGGAUGGGAAUAAGAUGCGGUCUCAGCACUUGUCCACAACCCCUAUCUGUGACAUGGGCUCAGAGAAAUAGCUCUCUUGAUUAUAGCCUAGAUUGUACAUUUAGAACCUCAAGGAUAGAAAGACCUUAAAAAUCUCACAUCCAAAACAGCUUAUUUUAAUUUGACCCUAAUUCAACUCCUUUCAUAAUAUACCCAACAGAUGGUCUUUUAGCCACUGAGUAAUUGCAUGUAGUGAUGGGGAACUCCUUCCUGAGAUAGCUUGUCUCUUCUUUCAAGAGCUCCUUGCAUAAUGAGCUUGAAAUAUAUUUUCCUACAACUUCAAUUCAUUCAUCAUAUCUGUAUUAUGCCCCAAUUCAAGAAUAUUGCUUUAUUGUGCUCUCUCUUGCAUGUUCAGCUUCUCUGCUGCCUUUUGAGCUGCCAGGCACUGUGCUGGGUGAUGGGGAUAUGGAGAUGAAUUAGACACAGUUUCUGCCCUCAAGGAGUUCUCAGUCUAGUGAGAGAGUUCGACUUGUACACAGAUAAUUACAGUAUGGUAUGCUCUACAAUGGAGGUAUGUACAAGAUACUCUGGGGUUCAGAAGAGAAAUCAUUUGACUGAAUCUGGAGAUGCAGAGGUUGGAGGAACUGAUGCUUAAGUUGAUUAUUUUAAAAAGUAAAGGUCAAAUAGGCAGAAAACAGAGGAAGUACCUUCUAAGCAAAGAUAUGAACAUUAGAAAUGGAAUGAUAAAUUGAGGGACUACAAGUAGUUUAUGAGAUUAGGUUGGAAAUGUGGGCUGAGAAUAAAUCCUUAUAUAGUAUGCUGUGAAAUUUGGAUUUCAUUUUGAGUGUUUUAAAAAGGGGAUGCUUUUGAUGGUCACUCUGACAGUAGUAUGGAGUAAGUUAUGGAAAAUUUUCAAAUUUGGAUAGGGAGAUCAGUUAGAUGAUAAAUGAUCAUCUUAGCCAGAAUAAGUGGGAAUGAAGAAGGAAUAACCUUUUAAAUAAGGGGUUAUACAAAACAUGGAUAUAGAAGUUCCCAUUGUGGCGUCAGCAGUAAUGAUCCUGACUAGUAUCCAUGAUAAUGUGGGUUCGAUCCUUGGUCUUGGUCAGCAGGUUAAGGAUCGGGCGUUGCUGUGAGCUGUGGUGUAGGUGGCAGAUGCAGCUUGGAUUCCAAGUUACUGUGACUGUGCGGAGGCUGGCAGCUGCAGCUCCGAUUCAACCCCUAGCCUGGGAACUUCCAUAUGCCGCAGGUGCGGCCCUAAAAA
RNAcentral lists this long non-coding RNA (1812 nucleotides) under Sus scrofa (pig). RNAcentral's name for it is "lncRNA (ENSSSCG00000057763.1)". Lineage: Eukaryota; Metazoa; Chordata; Mammalia; Artiodactyla; Suidae. The record is from RNAcentral.